This 393-nucleotide ribosomal RNA is filed under the name Triticum aestivum (bread wheat). Its description in RNAcentral is "partial small subunit ribosomal RNA". The record is from RNAcentral. Lineage: Eukaryota; Viridiplantae; Streptophyta; Magnoliopsida; Poales; Poaceae.
AUGACAAGUGGGCCCUCAAAUAUUUCCCCAUGCCAUCCAUCUAACUACAUCGACCAGCUCCUCGGCAGCAGUGAUCGAGCGGUGGAGCAGCCGGCCCCGGAGCUGCCGAACAUCUCGUCGAGGGCCAUGACGAUCCCCAUGGCCAGCGGCGUGCCAAGGCGGCGAGGGUCCGGCACCACCAGCCGGAACACCUCGUCGCCCACCGGCGACUCCUUCCGCCGCACCUCCACCACGGCCUCCCCGCGGGCGUCCCGCACCGCGACGCACCGCCGCGCGUACGACCCCUCCACCACGUACGACUCGCGCAACGCCGGCGUGAGAGGCGUUACGUGCGCGAGCGCUUUCUGCUUGGACGACGACGACGCGUGGGCGUGGCGCAGCAAGCCGGCGUGA